Molecule: ribosomal RNA, 306 nt
Filed under: Clostridia bacterium
Lineage: Bacteria; Bacillati; Bacillota; Clostridia
Description: partial 23S ribosomal RNA
Rfam family: Bacterial large subunit ribosomal RNA
Source: RNAcentral
CGCGAGACAGUUCGGUCCCUAUCUAUCACGGGCGUAGGAAAUUUGAGGAGAGCUGACCUUAGUACGAGAGGACCGGGUUGGACGUACCAAUUGUGCAUCUGUUGUUCUGCCAAGGGCAUAGCAGGGUAGCGAAGUGCGGAGCAGAUAAACGCUGAAAGCAUCUAAGCGUGAAACUGACCUCAAGAUAAGAUAUCCCAUAUCAUAAGGUAGUAAGACCCCUUGAAGACGACGAGGUAGAUAGGUCGGAGGUGUAAGUGCAGUAAUGUAUUGAGCUGACCGAUACUAAUAGGUCGAGGGCUUGAUCUC